Molecule: ribosomal RNA, 467 nt
Filed under: uncultured bacterium
Lineage: Bacteria
Description: partial 16S ribosomal RNA
Rfam family: Bacterial small subunit ribosomal RNA
Source: RNAcentral
ACGAACGCUGGCGGCGUGCUUAACCCCUGCAAGUCGCACGGAAAGGCCCUGCUUUUGUGGGGUGCUCGGGUGGCGAACGGGGGAGUAACACGUGAGUAACCUGCCCUUGACUUUGGGGUAACUUCAGGAAACUGGGGCUAAUACCGGAUAGGAGCUCCUUCUGCAUGGUGGGGGGUGGAAAGUUUCGGCGGUUGGGGAUGGACUCGCGGCUUAUCAGCUUGUUGGUGGGGUAGUGGCUUACCAAGGCUUUGACGGGUAGCCGGCCUGAGAGGGUGACCGGCCACAUUGGGACUGAGAUACGGCCCAGACUCCUACGGGAGGCAGCAGUGGGGAAUAUUGCACAAUGGGCGGAAGCCUGAUGCAGCAACGCCGCGUGCGGGAUGACGGCCUUCGGGUUGUAAACCGCUUUCGCCUGUGACGAAGCGUGAGUGACGGUAAUGGGUAAAGAAGCACCGGCUAACUACGUG